This 69-nucleotide antisense RNA is filed under the name Streptomyces noursei. RNAcentral describes it as "ASpks sRNA". It matches the Rfam family "ASpks TB sRNA". RNAcentral also lists the same sequence under 1 other name. The record is from RNAcentral. Lineage: Bacteria; Bacillati; Actinomycetota; Actinomycetes; Kitasatosporales; Streptomycetaceae.
CUUCAACGAGCCCAGCCACACGGGCCGUUCGCGAUCCUGGCCGUAGGUGGCCAGGAUCGCCUGCGCCUC